UACGUAGGUGGCAAGCGAUACUCGGAAUCACUAGGCGUAAAGCGCAGGUAGGCGGUUUGGUAAGUCUCUUGUGAAAGCUCCCGGCUCAACUGGGAGAGGCCAAGGGAAACUACCGGACUAGAGUGUGGUAGGGGGUACUGGAAUUCCUGGUGUAGCGGUGAAAUGCGUAGAUAUCAGGAGGAAUACCUAUGGCGAAAGCAGGUAUCUGGGCCAUCACUGACGCUGAGCUGCGAAAGCUAGGGGAGCAAACAGG
This 253-nucleotide ribosomal RNA is filed under the name uncultured bacterium. RNAcentral describes it as "partial 16S ribosomal RNA". It matches the Rfam family "Bacterial small subunit ribosomal RNA", at positions 524 to 776 of the family's 1533-position model. The record is from RNAcentral.